GGGGGAGAGAGCAAGCAAGAGAGGGAGAGAGCUAAGAGAGAGGGAGAGAGAGCGAUAGCUGUGAAGAGAGAACAAGCGAGAGAGAGUAUGUAUACUACAGAACCCACUGCCUUCUCUACUAUUCCCACAUCUCUGUGCUUGUGAACUGGAGCAAGGAGUGAAUCUCAGGAGCAUGUUUUGCGGGUGUAUUUUGGGACUAUCAGCUACAAUGUUGGCAUGAAAUUAAAUGAAAAAAGGCUUUGAAUCUGUCUGUCUUGGAGGUGGAAAAGAGCGUGGAAGCAUAGAAAAGCAAACUAUUUCAUAGACUGAAUUGGAUUUAACGCAACAAGGGAAAUGCUGUCAAACUGGAGUUACAAUUAAACCUUAAGGGACUGGCACUGAGGACACGACCCUGCUGCCCGUGGAUUGGAUACCUCGUGCUACCCAGAUCAGCCUGUUCAGACUCAUAGCUCCUCAGCGGGGCAAAUCACUUUGUGUAGUUCACUGGGGAAAGAGGAGGAAGCUGACUUUAUGGGUCCCUUUCAACAAGUUGGAAAUUGCAAAUUCAACAAUGAGAGAGAUUCCACCCUAAAUACAGAGAAUGCCAGACUUUGAUGACAAAAUUUGCCCACAAAGGACCACCGUGCCACCUUCCUGUUUAAGUGAGCACAGCACAAGGUUCACCAGCUGACCCCUAUCAAGACACCCAUGUCGACUGGAUUCCCACUGUAAAGAUGAGCAAUGCUGCAGCAGCAACAGUUUCUGCUUCUACUUCGUCCUUUCCCAGCUGUGAAAGGAGACAUCCCUCAGUUAUACGAGAUGGUUGUCGUAUGUUGUAUUUUGGACUAGCUGAAUGAUUCUGUUGUGCCAUUUGAGUAGAGAGCACCUUCACCUUGUCGUCAAGACAGAAGUGCCCCCUUAAAUCAUAUGAAUGUAUACAAUGUAUUUUGAAAAGUGUUAAAGACUAUUGUUCAUGACAUUGUAAACAUUCUGUAAUUUAAUAAAACACUACAUUUUUGUAUGGGUGAAAUUAAAAGUAUUGUUCUCUCUGCUUUACCUAGCCCCAUUGAAUAGAAAGUGUUUCUUAUAGCCCAACUAUUUUAUUUAUUUUACAAUUUAUACACAUUUAGCAUAGACAAUGUAAUUGUUGGGGUAGUCUUAAGCAAACCAUCUUCAUUAACACUGUAGCACCUCUCAGUGCCACUCAGACCUUCUACGAGAAAAGUAUCUGGCAUUGAAAUUGAUAGUAAUAGUUGUAUGUUUUAAGCUAAGGAUCCCAUCAUCUCCUUCCAGACAUUUCACCACCUAGAUUACAAUGGUUGGAUUUGAACUAAACAAUUUAAUGUCAGCACAAGGCAUGUACAAAAUCCAGUAUAAUGAUUAGCCUCAUAUACAUUGUCAACUGGUAUCAUUUUUAAAUUGAGAACAUAUAGCUGAACAAUAUGUAAACCAUGUGUGAGUUAAGCUUCUCUGCUUCAGAUGCACAAUGGCAAGGGCUGCAUUGCAAAUGCCCAUAAGGCUAAUGCCAUCAUACUGUAGGCCAGUGGUUCCCAACACCAGUCCUCGCGUACCUCCAACAGUACAUUUUAUUCUAGUCCUGGACAAACACACCUGAUUCAACUUAUCAACUAAUCAUCAGGCCCUCUGAGUUGAAUCAGGUACAAUGCAUUCGGGAAGUAUUCAGAACCCUUGACUUUUUAACAUUUUGUUAUGUUACAGCCUUAUUCUAAAAUGUAUGAAAUAUUUUUUCAAUCUACAAAUAUUUUUUCAAUCUCAUCAAUCUACACACAAUACCUCAUAAUGACAAAGCAAAAACAGCUUUUUAGACAUUUUGGCAAAUUUAUAAAAAAUAUAUAUAUAAUAAAUACCUUAUUUACGUAUGUACCCUUUGCUAUGAGAAUCAAAAUUAGGUCAGGUGCAUCCUGUUUCCAUUGAUCAUCCUUGAGUUGUUUCUACAACUUGAUUGGAGUCCACCUGUGGUAAAUUCAAUUGAUUGGACAUGAUUUGGAAAGACACGCACCUGUCUAUAUAAGGUUGACAGUGUAUGUCAGAUCAAAGCCAUGAGAUCGAAGGAAUUGCCUGUAGAGCGCUGAGACAGGAUUGUGUCGAGGCACUAACUCGUAUCUAAAGGAUAGACAUGUUAGUAACAUGUAGGCUGUUUUUUACUUAAGCAUAAUUUUAGGUGAACCAAAAAAAGCCAAUACCAUACCUUGAUCCCUGAUCUAUGGGGGAACAGGCUUAUGUUCCAGCCCAGAAAUAGUACACUUGAUUAUUAACUAAUAAGAUUUGAUACAUUGAAUCGGGUGUGUUCAUUCUGGGCUGGAACAGAAGCAUGCACACCCAGCAGGGUUGGCCUGCUCCAGUUUUAAUAGGUUUAUACAUUUUUGUGUGACUUUUAAACUGUAUUUUUGUUCACCAAAUGUGCUAACAUAUAAUUAUACUCAAAUAAGACAGUACUGAAUAUUAUGUUGCUAGUUAUAUAGCUCUGUCUUCAGUUUCUCACUAGGGAAUGGAACUGGAGAAUAUUUUCAUAAUGUCCUCCCACAGUUACCUGCCCUGUACAGAGUAGCCUUGUCUCCCUUCUCUGACAGCUGGAACUGCUGGCUAAUCCUUUCACCCUCUUCCGUGGCUGUUAGUUAGCUACCUAGCUACAAAUGCAUUUCGAGUUACAACGAUAAAUACAUCAUGAAGCUAAGCAGCUAAUAUGACGUUAGCAAGCUGGUGAUAUUUAAUUCACUUAGCUAGCUAUACAUUAUAUAAAGUUAUCUAACUAGUGAACAUUACAUAGCAGCUCAUGAGUUAGCCUGCACACUACAUUUCUGUAGAAAGCUAGCUAGCUAAUAAUCAUUUUUGAUCAUUUUCAAAACAUUUACUUUCUUGAAUAGGUUCUCCCAAUUCCUCUGUUUUCUGGGUCCUUAAAAAACGAAAUAAUGGGCAAUCUUCCGAAGUUUCCAGUGGUAGCAAAAGGCAGUCAGCCAUGUGGAUUAUUGGAUAACUUCCAACAGGGUGACUUUGGUCUUAAAACAAGGCGCCUGGUGCAUUUUGCUAGCUGAUUUUUUAUUUAUUUAUUUCACCUUUAUUUAACCAGGUAGGCUAGUUGAGAACAAGUUCUCAUUUACAACUGCGACCGCAAGCUCUCUAUAGAAAAUGACUAUCAAACAACAAUGGAACAUUCUAUUGGGUAUUUGGUUACCCUUCGCCAUUAGAUCAAAUGAUUUACCUAGACUGAUUAAAUAAUUUACCUAGACUAACUCAUAAAAAAAAACAAUGCUGCAAAGUGCAGAACUAUUUGUUUUAGGGAAAUUUGUCAUACUGGGAAAAAAAUACAAUUCCAAGAGAUCCAAAUCUGAUAGUGUAUUGGUUAUUUAAUUGCCACCAGUAAUAGUGUGCAAUACUCAGCAUGCUAAUAUGAAAGGUGUGCUCUGCCAUGUGUUGAGUUGCCACAGCAUCUUAGCACAAGGAUGUAGGUAAAUAUCUCCAAAAAAACCAUGGGUGAUUAUAAGCUCUUCUGUCCCUUGCUGUGGAGACUUGCUUCCAUUCAGCCGCAAGAGCAUUAGUGAGAUCCAGCACUGAUGUUGGGUGAUUAGGCCUGGCACGCAGUCGGUUGAGGUCAGAGCUCUGUGCAAACUGACUUGUUAGAAAGGUGACACGUUGAAAGUCAGAGGUCUUCAGUAAAGCCAUUCUGCUGCCAAUGUUUGUCUUUGAAGAUUUCAUGGCUGUGUGUUCAAUUUUAUAUACCUGUCAGCAACGGAUGUGGCUGAAAUAGCCAAAUUCACUCAUUUGAAGGUGUGUCCACAUACUUUGUAUAUAUAGUGUACAUGUCCGUACAUACACACAACAAGUAGCUCACAUGGGGGUGAGGCAUUAUUCCAUGAGGUGUUGCUUUAUUUGUUUUUUAUAAACCAGGUUUGCUGUUCACUUGCGCUAUAUUAGAUGGAAGGCAGUUCCAUGCACUCGUGGCUCUGUAUUCCAUGAAUUUGUUCUGGACCUGGGGACUGUGAAAAGACCUCUAGUGGCAUUUCUGGUGGGGAUAGUGUGUGUCAGUGCUGUGUGUAAAUUGACUAGUCAAACAAAUAGUCUAGACUAGAGAUUGCUCAGUGUGAUGACAUUAAGCUGUAAAACAUGAGUGCAUUCAUGAUUAGGAUACAUGUAUAAGCAAGAUGACAUUUUGUGGUUCCUCUGUCUACAUUCCACCCAUAUUGUAUAAUAAACAUGAACUCAAG
Oncorhynchus kisutch (coho salmon) is the source of this 4202-nucleotide long non-coding RNA. RefSeq lists it as uncharacterized. Lineage: Eukaryota; Metazoa; Chordata; Actinopteri; Salmoniformes; Salmonidae. The transcript is spliced from 4 exons. The record is from RefSeq and is a predicted model, not a curated record.